This 935-nucleotide ribosomal RNA is filed under the name uncultured archaeon. RNAcentral describes it as "bacterial SSU rRNA". It matches the Rfam family "Archaeal small subunit ribosomal RNA", at positions 6 to 930 of the family's 1478-position model. The record is from RNAcentral.
GGUUGAUCCUGCCGGACCUGACUGCUAUCGAGGUUGAUACUAAGAUCCAUGCGUGUCCCGCUAUUUGUGUUAGCAAUGAUCAAGGCAGCAGCAGCGCUCAGUAACGCGUAGUCAAUCUACCCUAUGGACGGGAAUAACCUCGGGAAACUGAGAAUAAUGCCCGAUAGAACAUUAUGCCUGGAAUGGUUUAUGUUUCAAAUGAUUUAUCGCCAUAGGAUGGGACUGCGGCCUAUCAGUUUGUUGGUGAGGUAAUGGCCCACCAAGACUAUUACAGGUACGGGCUCUGAGAGGAGUGGCCCGGAGAUGGGUACUGAGACACGGACCCAGGCCCUAUGGGGCGCAGCAGGCGAGAAAACUUUGCAAUGUGCGAAAGCACGACAAGGUUAAUCCGAGUGGUUUCUGCUAAAGAAACCUUUUGUCAGUCCUAGAAACACUAACGAAUAAGGGGUGGGCAAGUUCUGGUGUCGGCCGCCGCGGUAAAACCAGCACCUCAAGUGGUCAGGAUGAUUAUUGGGCCUAAAGCAUCCGUAGCUCGUUUUGUAAGUUUUCGGUUAAAUCCAUGCGCUUAACGUAUGGGCUGCCGGGAAUACUGCAUAACUAGGAAGUGGGAGAGGUAGACGGUACUCGGUAGGAAGGGGUAAAAUCCUUUGAUCUAUUGAUGACCACCUGUGGCGAAGGCGGUCUACCAGUACACGUUCGACGGUGAGGGAUGAAAGCUGGGGGAGCAAACCGGAUUAGAUACCCGGGUAGUCCCAGCUGUAAACUAUGCAAACUCAGUGAUGCAUUGGCUUGUGGCCAAUGCAGUGCUGCAGGGAAGCCGUUAAGUUUGCCGCCUGGGAAGUACGUACGCAAGUAUGAAACUUAAAGGAAUUGGCGGGGGAGCACCACAAGGGGUGAAGCCUGCGGUUCAAUGGAGUCAACGCCGGAAGGCGAUC